RNAcentral lists this ribosomal RNA (492 nucleotides) under uncultured bacterium. Its description in RNAcentral is "partial 16S ribosomal RNA". It matches the Rfam family "Bacterial small subunit ribosomal RNA", at positions 29 to 507 of the family's 1533-position model. The record is from RNAcentral.
AGUGAACGCUGGCGGUAGGCCUAACACAUGCAAGUCGAACGGCAGCACAGUAAGAGCUUGCUCUUACGGGUGGCGAGUGGCGGACGGGUGAGGAAUACAUCGGAAUCUACUUUUUCGUGGGGGAUAACGUAGGGAAACUUACGCUAAUACCGCAUACGACCUACGGGUGAAAGCAGGGGAUCUUCGGACCUUGCGCGAUUGAAUGAGCCGAUGUCGGAUUAGCUAGUUGGCGGGGUAAAGGCCCACCAAGGCGACGAUCCGUAGCUGGUCUGAGAGGAUGAUCACCCCCACUGGAACUGAGACACGGUCCAGACCCCUACGGGAGGCAGCAGUGGGGAAUUUUGGACAAGGGGCGCAACCCUUCUCCACCCAUCCCGCGGGGGUGAAGAAGGCCUUCGGUUUGUAAAGCCUUUUUGUGGGGAAAAAAAAGCAGCAGGUUAAUCCCCCGUUUUUCUGACGGUCCCAAAAGAAAAACCCCCGGCUAACUUCGUC